Molecule: long non-coding RNA, 815 nt
Filed under: Hordeum vulgare
Lineage: Eukaryota; Viridiplantae; Streptophyta; Magnoliopsida; Poales; Poaceae
Description: long non-coding RNA (HVUL_LNC015045)
Source: RNAcentral
GCGGACUAUUGCACUUGCACAGGUGAUCAAUAUCCUCCAAUGUUUUUGUUUGCUAGGAAACAUGGGCAUAUAUUAAGCUUUUAUGCCAGCUUUAGCGUUAGCACAUCCAUAUGUGCAAGAGAAAGGUUCAGACAGAAUUAUGCUUGCUAUCUCUCUACCAAAACAGAACUAUGAUUUCUACUAGCUUGAUGUGGACAUAUGAAUCUAGAGUUUUAUGGGAAGCACAAUUUUAUGGGAAGAUACUAAUAAAUUGGGGCCCGUUUUAAUGCAAUUGGAAUCACAACGCUCCAACCUGGUAGUGGCAGAUUUUGCCUUAUUAGAAUUGUAUAUAUUGCAAUUUAACUUUUUUGGGGGGAAAACGCAAAGGACCUUAGUGCUACAAGGCUUUAGGUUUCUUUGUUGAAUUAAGCAACAAAACUAAGCAAGGUGCGUAUUCAGCACAUGGUAUUGGCAGGGACAGAAUCAUGGGUAUAUAUAUGUUGCAUAAAUAUUAAACAUGCCCAAUUUCUGUGCAGUAUAAAUAAUACACUACUACUGAGACGGUCCAGGUGAAGAGAAAACCAUUGAAGGAACAUCGUCAGUUCUAACAGGGAGUAAACGGCUGGGCACAGAGGUAGAGCUGGGCGAUAGAUAAGCAUUCAGAUUUUAGUUGGUUUCAGAAUGUCUGCUCUUUUCUCAUAAUAGAAGAACUUAUAUUAAUCUGAUGGCUCUUGAUUUCUGCGUAGAUGCUUCUAACAUCCUUCAACUGUUAGAAAAAUAUGUAUGAACUAGUCAUUUCAGAUAGAAGCUACCUUUGGGGGUGCCCUCUAUUGAGU